AACUAACGCUGGCGGCGUGCCUAACACAUGCAAGUCGUACGAGAAAGCCGGCUUCGGCUGGUGAGUAAAGUGGCGCACGGGUGAGUAACGCGUGGAUAAUCUGCCCUUAAGUGUGGAAUAACGUACCGAAAGGUGCGCUAAUACCGCAUAAUGCCUGGCAACACAAGUUGUCCGGCCAAAGAAGGCCUCUGUUUACAAGCUUUCGCUUCAGGAUGAGUCCGCGUACCAUUAGCUUGUUGGUGGGGUAAUGGCCUACCAAGGCUGCGAUGGUUAGCUGGUCUGAGAGGAUGAUCAGCCACACUGGAACUGAGACACGGUCCAGACUCCUACGGGAGGCAGCAGUGAGGAAUAUUGCGCAAUGGGGGCAACCCUGACGCAGCAACGCCGCGUGAGUGAGGAAGGUUUUCGGACUGCAAAGCUCUGUCGAGCGGGAAGAAGUGUACCAUGGCUAAUAUCCAUGAUAUUUGACGGUACCGCUAGAGG
This 483-nucleotide ribosomal RNA is filed under the name uncultured bacterium. RNAcentral describes it as "bacterial SSU rRNA". It matches the Rfam family "Bacterial small subunit ribosomal RNA", at positions 29 to 487 of the family's 1533-position model. The record is from RNAcentral.